RNAcentral lists this ribosomal RNA (540 nucleotides) under Triticum aestivum (bread wheat). RNAcentral's name for it is "partial small subunit ribosomal RNA". Lineage: Eukaryota; Viridiplantae; Streptophyta; Magnoliopsida; Poales; Poaceae. The record is from RNAcentral.
AUGCUGCAGAUACCAUCUAUUAAGAUGCGUACCCUACUGAUUAGGUAUAUGAUUGAGAAUUUUGAUGCCAGCAAGUCCAGAUUCGUUAUACAAGAGCAGGUUGGGGAGGUGACUCUCGGUGCGGUCGACAUCGAGUGCAUCUUUAACCUCGAGAACCAAGGACUCUCCGCUUCAGACAUUCUGAUUGAAGAAGGAGAGGACAUGAAGGAGCGGGUGCCGCCACAAUUUCUCAGUAAGACAUCAGAAAACAUAGUGAUAGAUAAUAUCAUUGAGGACAUAAUUAAAAGUAAAGCCACCGACGACGAUUUCCUUCGGAAAUUAGUCCUUGUCCUGUUAGGAACAAUUAUUGCUCCCAUGUUGAGCAGGAUUAUGCCAAAGCAAUACUACAUGUUGGUCCAUGAUGUGAAACGUAUUUCAAAGAUUAACUAGAAUGCGUUCACCCUGCGUGUUCUCCUCGAUUGCCUUCGCAUAGUCAAGAAAGGCAAACACCUCCGCCAAUGGCCGAAAGGAAAUUUGGCUCUGUUGCAGGUACACAUAUGA